ACUUUCGAUGGUAGGAUAGAGGCCUACUAUGGUGGUGACGGGUGACGGAGAAUUAGGGUUCGAUUCCGGAGAGGGAGCCUGAGAAACGGCUACCACAUCCAAGGAAGGCAGCAGGCGCGCAAAUUACCCAAUCCCGACACGGGGAGGUAGUGACAAUAAAUAACAAUACGGGGUUCUUUCGGAUCUCGUAAUUGGAAUGAGUACAAUUUAAAUCUCUUAACGAGGAACAAUUGGAGGGCAAGUCUGGUGCCAGCAGCCGCGGUAAUUCCAGCUCCAAUAGCGUAUAUUAAAGUUGUUGCAGUUAAAAAGCUCGUAGUUGAAUUUCGGGAUUGGCGCAUCGGUCGUGCCUCACGGGGUAUGAACUGGUGCAGUCAAUUUCUCACCUUCUGGAGAACCGCGAUGUCCUUAAUUGGAUGCCGCGGGGAACCAGGACCUUUACUUUGAAAAAAUUAGAGUGUUUAGAGCAGGCUCACGCUUGAAUACAUUAGCAUGGAAUAACGAAAUAGGACGUUUGAUUCUAUUUUGUUGGUUUCUAGGAUUGACGUAAUGAUUAAUAGGGAUAGUUGGGGGCAUUAGUAUUCAAUUGUCAGAGGUGAAAUUCUUGGAUUUAUUGAAGACUAACUACUGCGAAAGCAUUUGCCAAGGAUGUUUUCAUUAAUCAAGAACGAAAGUUAGGGGAUCGAAGACGAUCAGAUACCGUCGUAGUCUUAACCAUAAAUUAUGCCGACUAGGGAUCGGAUGAUGUUAAAUUAAUGACUCAUUCGGCACCUUACGGGAAACCAAAGUGUUUGGGUUC
Molecule: ribosomal RNA, 796 nt
Filed under: Entrophospora sp.
Lineage: Eukaryota; Fungi; Glomeromycota; Glomeromycetes; Entrophosporales; Entrophosporaceae
Description: SSU rRNA
Rfam family: Eukaryotic small subunit ribosomal RNA
Source: RNAcentral